RNAcentral lists this long non-coding RNA (251 nucleotides) under Elaeis guineensis (African oil palm). RNAcentral's name for it is "long non-coding RNA (EGUI_LNC069981)". Lineage: Eukaryota; Viridiplantae; Streptophyta; Magnoliopsida; Arecales; Arecaceae. The record is from RNAcentral.
UUUACCUUCAUAAAACAUCUAAUUGAAGCUAUAGAUGUACUGCUAAGCUCUCAUGUGUUAAAUGUGGUAGGUCUUUGAUUGAUCAAUGUGCUUUAGAGCUCUGUGCUUUUCUUGAAAUGAGACUCUUAGAAGAGUCUUUCCCUUAGGCCAAUAGACUGAUUGGGCCUUGAUAGAGUCGCGAUGUUGUCAUUAGGAUACCGUGAUUAUUAAAUUAAUUUUUUUAAAAAAUAAAAAAUACGUAGAAAGUAGUG